RNAcentral lists this unclassified non-coding RNA (206 nucleotides) under Hevea brasiliensis (rubber tree). The record is from RNAcentral. Lineage: Eukaryota; Viridiplantae; Streptophyta; Magnoliopsida; Malpighiales; Euphorbiaceae.
AUAUAAUACUCAAAGAGAAUGAAUGUAAAAUGCAAAGGAGGCAGAAGAGGAAAAUUCAAUUUUGUCAAUGGAAGAUUUUUGCAUUAAAUAUGGUGGAAAUGCCCUACUGCCUCUAUUUCCAAUUUUUCUUUUCAAAGGUUUGAUGCAGAUGGUUACAUAUUGAAUAAGCAUUUAAGGGUUUGUGUAACACCCAUUACUUUUCAACG